GACGGAGACUGCAAGCGUUACUCGGAAUCACUGGGCGUAAAGGGUGCGUAGGCGGUUAAUCAAGUCAGAAGUGAAAUCCUGUGGCUCAACCAUAGAAUGGCUUUUGAAACUGGUUAACUAGAGUGAGGGAGAGGUAGAUGGAAUUAGUGGUGUAGGGGUAAAAUCCGUAGAGAUCAGAAGGAAUACCGAUUGCGAAGGCGAUCUACUGGAACAUUAUUGACGCUGAGACGCGAAAGCGUGGGGAGCAAACAGG
This 253-nucleotide ribosomal RNA is filed under the name uncultured bacterium. RNAcentral describes it as "partial 16S ribosomal RNA". It matches the Rfam family "Bacterial small subunit ribosomal RNA", at positions 524 to 776 of the family's 1533-position model. The record is from RNAcentral.